CUUCUCUAGCUCCUCCUGUGAAUGUGCAAAGGUGCAGCUGGCCCCUCGGGGGCAUCCUCCUCUCUGUUUCAUGUCUCGGCACAUGUACGUCUUGUAUUUGCUGUGCUGAGGAGGCUGUUGCUGAUCCGUUCCUUUCUUGCUGUGAUUCUGGAUAUAAUCAACUAAGCCAUGAACCACAGUCCUUACAGCAACUAGCCCAUUUUCCAGUUGUUCCCACGUUGGAGGUGGAGCAUCUGGGCUGGGAUCAAUAUUUGCCAGGAGCUCAAGGUGAGGUCGAAG
This 279-nucleotide long non-coding RNA is filed under the name Gallus gallus (chicken). Lineage: Eukaryota; Metazoa; Chordata; Aves; Galliformes; Phasianidae. The record is from RNAcentral.